AUUGAACGCUGGCGGCAUGCUUUACACAUGCAAGUCGAACGGUAACAGGUUAAGCUGACGAGUGGCGAACGGGUGAGUAAUGCAUCGGAACGUGCCCGGUCGUGGGGGAUAACGCAGCGAAAGUUGCGCUACUACCGCAUACGAUCUGAGGAUGAAAGCGGGGGACCGUAAGGCCUCGCGCGAUCGGAGCGGCCGAUGUCAGAUUAGGUAGUUGGUGGGGUAAAGGCUCACCAAGCCAACGAUCUGGAGCUGGUCUGAGAGGACGACCAGCCACACUGGGACUGAGACACGGCCCAGACUCCUACGGGAGGCAGCAGUGGGGAAUUUUGGACAAUGGGCGAAAGCCUGAUCCAGCAAUGCCGCGUGCAGGAAGAAGGCCUUCGGGUUGUAAACUGCUUUUGUACGGAGCGAAAAGGUCUCCUCUAAUACAGGGGGCUCAUGACGGUACCGUAAGAAUAAGCACCGGCUAACUACGUGCCAGCCGCCGCCGUAA
This 493-nucleotide ribosomal RNA is filed under the name uncultured bacterium. RNAcentral's name for it is "partial 16S ribosomal RNA". It matches the Rfam family "Bacterial small subunit ribosomal RNA", at positions 29 to 523 of the family's 1533-position model. The record is from RNAcentral.